RNAcentral lists this ribosomal RNA (252 nucleotides) under uncultured bacterium. RNAcentral's name for it is "partial 16S ribosomal RNA". It matches the Rfam family "Bacterial small subunit ribosomal RNA", at positions 524 to 776 of the family's 1533-position model. The record is from RNAcentral.
UACGGAGGAUGCGAGCGUUAUCCGGAUUUAUUGGGUUUAAAGGGUGCGUAGGCGGACGCUUAAGUCAGUGGUAAAAUUGCGGGGCUCAACCUCGUCGAGCCGUUGAAACUGGGUGUCUUGAGUGGGCGAGAAGUACGCGGAAUGCGUGGUGUAGCGGUGAAAUGCAUAGAUAUCACGCAGAACUCCGAUUGCGAAGGCAGCGUACCGGCGCCCAACUGACGCUGAAGCACGAAGGCGUGGGUAUCGAACAGG